UACGUAGGGUGCAAGCGUUGUCCGGAAUUAUUGGGCGUAAAGAGCUCGUAGGCGGUUUGUCGCGUCUGCUGUGAAAACUCGGGGCUUAACCCCGGGCCUGCAGUGGGUACGGGCAGACUAGAGUGCGGUAGGGGAGACUGGAAUUCCUGGUGUAGCGGUGAAAUGCGCAGAUAUCAGGAGGAACACCGGUGGCGAAGGCAGCACUCUGGGACGUGACUGACGCUGAGACGCGAAAGCGUGGGGAGCAAACAGG
Molecule: ribosomal RNA, 253 nt
Filed under: uncultured bacterium
Lineage: Bacteria
Description: partial 16S ribosomal RNA
Rfam family: Bacterial small subunit ribosomal RNA
Source: RNAcentral